This 106-nucleotide ribosomal RNA is filed under the name uncultured bacterium. RNAcentral's name for it is "partial 16S ribosomal RNA". The record is from RNAcentral.
GUACUGUCAUUAUCAUCCCUGGCGAAAGAGCUUUACGACCCUAGGGCCUUCAUCACUCACGCGGCAUCGCUAGAUCAGGCUUUCGCCCAUUGUCUAAGAUUCCCCA